RNAcentral lists this ribosomal RNA (208 nucleotides) under uncultured bacterium. Its description in RNAcentral is "partial 16S ribosomal RNA". It matches the Rfam family "Bacterial small subunit ribosomal RNA", at positions 568 to 774 of the family's 1533-position model. The record is from RNAcentral.
UGCGUAGGCGGGUUUCUAAGUCAGAGGUGAAAGCCUGGAGCUCAACUCCAGAGCUGCCUUUGAUACUGGAAGUCUUGAGUAUGGCAGAGGUGAGUGGAACUGCAAGUGUAGAGGUGAAAUUCGUAGAUAUUCGCAAGAACACCAGUGGCGAAGGCGGCUCACUGGGCCAUUACUGACGCUGAGGCACGAAAAGCGUGGGGAGCAAACA